GUGCCAGCAGCCGCGGUAAUACCGGCAGCCCAAGUGAUGGCCGAUCUUAUUGGGCCCAAAGCGUCCGUAGCUGGCUGCGCAAGUCCGUCGGGAAAUCCACUCGCCCAACGAGUGGGCGUCCGACGGAAACUGCACAGCUUGGGACCGGAAGGCUCGAAGGGUACGUUCGGGGUAGGAGUGAAAUCCUAUAAUCCCGCACGGACCACCGAUGGCGACAGCACUUCGAGAAAACGGAUCCGACAGUGAGGGACGAAAGCCAGGGUCUCCAACCGGAUUAGAAACCCCUGUAUCC
This 292-nucleotide ribosomal RNA is filed under the name uncultured bacterium. RNAcentral describes it as "partial 16S ribosomal RNA". It matches the Rfam family "Archaeal small subunit ribosomal RNA", at positions 455 to 746 of the family's 1478-position model. The record is from RNAcentral.